RNAcentral lists this unclassified non-coding RNA (225 nucleotides) under Hevea brasiliensis (rubber tree). Lineage: Eukaryota; Viridiplantae; Streptophyta; Magnoliopsida; Malpighiales; Euphorbiaceae. The record is from RNAcentral.
AAAUAUGCAAUAUAAUAGGGAGUCCAACAAAGGACUCCUGGGCUGAUGGACUUAAUCUUGCUAGUGCUAUUAACUAUCAGUUCCCACAGUCAGUCGGCGUCCACCUUUCUGCACUUAUACCAUCAGCAAGUGAGGAUGCAGUCAACCUUGUCAAGUUGCUUUGUUCUUGGGAUCCAAGCAAGAGGCCUACAGCUGGAGAGGCACUUCAACAUCCUUUUUUCCAGA